GAUGAACGCUGGCGGCGUGCCUAAUACAUGCAAGUCGAGCGAACAGACGAGGAGCUUGCUCCUCUGAUGUUAGCGGCGGACGGGUGAGUAACACGUGGAUAACCUACCUAUAAGACUGGGAUAACUUCGGGAAACCGGAGCUAAUACCGGAUAACAUGUUGAACCGCAUGGUUCAACAGUGAAAGUCGGUCUUGCUGUCACUUAUAGAUGGAUCCGCGCCGCAUUAGCUAGUUGGUAAGGUAACGGCUUACCAAGGCAACGAUGCGUAGCCGACCUGAGAGUGUGAUCGGCCACACUGGAACUGAGACACGGUCCAGACUCCUACGAGAGGCAGCAGUAGGGAAUCUUCCGCAAUGGGCGAAAGCCUGACGGAGCAACGCCGCGUGAGUGAAGAAGGUCUUCGGAUCGUAAAACUCUGUUAUUAGGGAAGAACAAAUGUGUAAGUAACUAUGCACGUCUUGACGGUACCUAAUCAGAAAGCCACGGCUAACUACGUG
RNAcentral lists this ribosomal RNA (497 nucleotides) under uncultured bacterium. RNAcentral's name for it is "partial 16S ribosomal RNA". It matches the Rfam family "Bacterial small subunit ribosomal RNA", at positions 28 to 507 of the family's 1533-position model. The record is from RNAcentral.